Molecule: ribosomal RNA, 407 nt
Filed under: uncultured bacterium
Lineage: Bacteria
Description: partial 16S ribosomal RNA
Rfam family: Bacterial small subunit ribosomal RNA
Source: RNAcentral
AUUGAACGCUGGCGUCAGGCCUAACACAUGCAAGUCGAGCGGAGCGGCGGACGGGUGAGUAAUGCCUAGGAAUCUGCCUGGUAGUGAGGGAUCACGUCCGGAAACGGGCGCUAAUACCGCAUACUAUCACAUGAGCCUAGGUCGGAUUAGCUAGUUGGUGUGGUAAAGGCUUACCAAGGCGACGAUGCGUAACUGGUCGGAGAGGAUGAUCAUUUACAGUGGAAUGAUGAAACGGGCCAGACUCGUGCGGGAGGCAUCAGUGGUGAAUAUUGGACAAUGGGCGAAAUCCUGAUCCAGCCAAGCCGCGUGUGUGAAGAAGGUCUUCGGAUUGUUAAGCACUUUAAGUUGGGAGGCGUUACCAACAGAAAAAGCACCGGCGAACUUCGUUGCAGCAGCCGCGGUAAUAC